This 496-nucleotide ribosomal RNA is filed under the name uncultured bacterium. RNAcentral describes it as "partial 16S ribosomal RNA". It matches the Rfam family "Bacterial small subunit ribosomal RNA", at positions 29 to 507 of the family's 1533-position model. The record is from RNAcentral.
ACGAACGCUGGCGGCGUGCCUAAUACAUGCCAGUUGAGCGCUGAAGGUUGGUACUUGUACCGACUGGAUGAGCAGCGAACGGGUGAGUAACGCGUGGGGAAUCUGCCUUUGAGCGGGGGACAACAUUUGGAAACGAAUGCUAAUACCGCAUAAAAACUUUAAACACCAGUUUUCAGUUUGAAAGAUGCAAUUGCAUCACUCAAAGAUGAUCCCGCGUUGUAUUAGCUAGUUGGUGAGGUAAAGGCUCACCAAGGCGAUGAUACAUAGCCGACCUGAGAGGGUGAUCGGCCACAUUGGGACUGAGACACGGCCCAAACUCCUACGGGAGGGAGCAGUAGGGAAUCUUCGGCAAUGGACGAAAGUCUGACCGAGCAACGCCGCGGGAGUGAAGAAGGUUUUCGGAUCGUAAAACUCUGUUGGUAGAGAAGAACGUUGGUGAGAGUGGAAAGCUCAUCAAGUGACGGUAACUACUCAGAAAGGGACGGCUAACUACGUG